Molecule: long non-coding RNA, 568 nt
Organism: Carassius auratus (goldfish)
Lineage: Eukaryota; Metazoa; Chordata; Actinopteri; Cypriniformes; Cyprinidae
Exons: 4
Source: RefSeq, a predicted model, not a curated record
CAAAAUAAAAGUCCCGCCUCGAACACAUCAGCCAAGCAGAAUAACUUAUCAGCUGAUGCCGAUAUUUGAAAAAUUGGCCUUGGUGAUAUAUCGGUCGAUCACUACAGGUAAUCUGGGGAAAAUCAUUGUUUAAUUUACAGCAUCAUUUACUCUUACCAGACUCGUGCAGGAUUCUUGCUCUAUGUCUGGUCCACCCUUUUUCUGGCUGUGGUGCCUCCAUUGUCCUAACACUCUUCAGCAACCUGUCAAGAUCUUUAUAUGGUGGCCACCAGGAGUAGCCAUCUGCAUACCAGGACUUGGCAGCUGGUCCAGUCGUCCCUUCUCCCUCAAACUCCACGAUUAGAAAUCAACUGUUGUUGAGAGGUCAUCCACUAAAUCAAUGCCAAGUGUAGAGGAUGGCAGUGGAUAGUCAAACAAGGAUUCCUGGUGGUUGAAGGACAAGAAUUGUGGACCAUACAGUUGACCAAAGUGAGAGACAACGAGCACCACCUACAAGUCAGAGGACCCAUCUUCAGCCACAAGAGAAGAAGCUGUCUCAUGAUGGUGCAUGUGGUCGAGGGGGAAACCA